This 253-nucleotide ribosomal RNA is filed under the name uncultured bacterium. RNAcentral describes it as "partial 16S ribosomal RNA". It matches the Rfam family "Bacterial small subunit ribosomal RNA", at positions 524 to 776 of the family's 1533-position model. The record is from RNAcentral.
UACGAGGGGUCCUAGCGUUGUUCGGAAUUAUUGGGCGUAAAGAGUAUGUAGGGGGCCAGAUAAGUCAGGUGUGAAAUCCCCGGGCUCAACCCGGGAAGUGCAUUUGAUACUGUCUGGCUUGAGUAUGGAAGAGGGUAGUGGAAUUCCUGGUGUAGUGGUGAAAUACGUAGAUAUCAGGAGGAACACCGGUGGCGAAGGCGGCUACCUGGUCCUAUACUGACGCUGAGAUACGAAAGCGUGGGGAGCAAACAGG